GAGGGUAUAGCUCAAGUGGUAGAGCACAUGCUUACCAUACACAAGGUCCUGGGUUCAAUCCCCAGUACUUCCU
RNAcentral lists this transfer RNA (73 nucleotides) under Camelus bactrianus (Bactrian camel). It matches the Rfam family "tRNA". From Rfam's summary of the family: Transfer RNA (tRNA) molecules are approximately 80 nucleotides in length. Their secondary structure includes four short double-helical elements and three loops (D, anti-codon, and T loops). Further hydrogen bonds mediate the characteristic L-shaped molecular structure. tRNAs have two regions of fundamental functional importance: the anti-codon, which is responsible for specific mRNA codon recognition, and the 3' end, to which the tRNAs corresponding amino acid is attached (by aminoacyl-tRNA synthetases). tRNAs cope with the degeneracy of the genetic code in two manners: having more than one tRNA (with a specific anti-codon) for a particular amino acid; and 'wobble' base-pairing, i.e. permitting non-standard base-pairing at the 3rd anti-codon position. RNAcentral also lists the same sequence under 1 other name. The record is from Rfam by way of RNAcentral. Lineage: Eukaryota; Metazoa; Chordata; Mammalia; Artiodactyla; Camelidae.